GAUGAACGCUGGCGGCGUGCCUAAUACAUGCAAGUCGAGCGAACAGACGAGGAGCUUGCUCCUCUGACGUUAGCGGCGGACGGGUGAGUAACACGUGGAUAACCUACCUAUAAGACUGGGAUAACUUCGGGAAACCGGAGCUAAUACCGGAUAAUAUAUUGAACCGCAUGGUUCAAUAGUGAAAGACGGUUUUGCUGUCACUUAUAGAUGGAUCCGCGCCGCAUUAGCUAGUUGGUAAGGUAACAGCUUACCAAGGCAACGAUGCGUAGCCGACCUGAGAGGGUGUUCGCCCCCACUGGAACUGGGCCCCGUUCCAACUCCCUCGGGGGGGCGCCAUUGGGAAUUCUGCCGCAUGGGGCAAAACCCUGACGGAGCAACCCCGCGUUAGUGAGGAGGGUUUUGGGUUGUUAAACCUUUUUUUUUGGGGAAAAAAAAAUUUGUAAAUAACCUUGCUCUUUUGGCCGGUCCCUAAGCAGAAGGCCCCGGCUAAUUCGUU
Molecule: ribosomal RNA, 496 nt
Filed under: uncultured bacterium
Lineage: Bacteria
Description: partial 16S ribosomal RNA
Rfam family: Bacterial small subunit ribosomal RNA
Source: RNAcentral